RNAcentral lists this ribosomal RNA (236 nucleotides) under Paenibacillus sp. cl130. RNAcentral's name for it is "23S rRNA. Bacterial LSU". It matches the Rfam family "Bacterial large subunit ribosomal RNA", at positions 2682 to 2925 of the family's 2925-position model. Lineage: Bacteria; Bacillati; Bacillota; Bacilli; Caryophanales; Paenibacillaceae. The record is from RNAcentral.
UACGAGAGGACCGGGAUGGACGUACCGCUGGUGUACCAGUUGUUCCGCCAGGAGCACCGCUGGGUAGCUAUGUACGGAAGGGAUAAGCGCUGAAAGCAUCUAAGCGUGAAGCCCCCCUCAAGAUGAGAUUUCCCAAUUAGUAAGACCCCUUGAAGACGACGAGGUAGAUAGGUUGGGGGUGGAAGUGCAGUAAUGCAUGGAGCUGACCAAUACUAAUCGGUCGAGGGCUUAUCCUA